AUAGGUGAAAUUMGUUGAUUAAAAUAAAAUAGUAGAUGAASCUAAAAAGGUUGGGAGAUAAACUAGGAUUARAUACCCUAUUAUACCUAACUUGAAAGUUUUAAGCUGAAAUAUUAAUAGUUAUGUUCUUUAAAUUUARAGAAUUUGGCGGUGAUUUAGUCUGUUUARAGGAACCUGUUUCAUAAAUGAUAAACCUCAAAAUAUCUUACUUGAKUUUGUAUACCGUCWUUAUUARAUAAUUUUUACAGAAAAAAUUAUUAUAAUARAGUUUAUCUARUAUAUUAAAUCARGGUGCAKCUUAUGGGUAAGUGAAAAUGGGUUACAAUAANAUUUAUUUUACAACGGAGUGKUUUUUAUGAAGGUGGAUUUAAUUGUAAUAUAAKUUUAAUAAGCUUAUGUGAUAUUAGCUCUAAKUUAUGUACAUAUUGCCCGUCGCUUUC
This 440-nucleotide ribosomal RNA is filed under the name Lewindromia unidentata. Its description in RNAcentral is "partial 12S small subunit ribosomal RNA". The record is from RNAcentral. Lineage: Eukaryota; Metazoa; Arthropoda; Malacostraca; Decapoda; Dromiidae.